This 495-nucleotide ribosomal RNA is filed under the name uncultured bacterium. RNAcentral describes it as "partial 16S ribosomal RNA". It matches the Rfam family "Bacterial small subunit ribosomal RNA", at positions 28 to 507 of the family's 1533-position model. The record is from RNAcentral.
GACGAACGCUGGCGGCGUGCCUAAUACAUGCAAGUAGAACGCUGAAGGAGGAGCUUGCUUCUCUGGAUGAGUUGCGAACGGGUGAGUAACGCGUAGGUAACCUGCCUGGUAGCGGGGGAUAACUUUUGGAAACUAUAGCUAAUACCGCAUAAUAGCAGUUGUUGCAUGACAACUGUUUGAAAGGUGCAAUUGCACCACUACUAGAUGGACCUUCGUUGUAUUAGCUAGUUGGUGGGGUAACGGCUCACCAAGGCGACGAUACAUAGCCGACCUGAGAGGGUGAACGGCCACACUGGGACGGGGACACGGCCCAGAAGGCUACGGGAGGCAGCAGUAGGGAAACGUCGGCAAGGGACGGAAGUCAGACCGAGAAACGCCGGGUGAGUGAAGAAGGUUGUCGGAUCGGAAAGCUCUGUUGUAAGGGAAGAAAGAGUGUGAGAGUGGAAAGUUCACACUGUGACGGUAUCUUAACAGAAAGGGACGGCUAACUACGUG